Hippocampus zosterae (dwarf seahorse) is the source of this 315-nucleotide long non-coding RNA. RefSeq lists it as uncharacterized. Lineage: Eukaryota; Metazoa; Chordata; Actinopteri; Syngnathiformes; Syngnathidae. The record is from RefSeq and is a predicted model, not a curated record. The transcript has 2 exons.
ACCUGUAGGACUUGUUCCAAAAGGUGGACAUAUGCAGUGGUGCAUUCGGAGCCGUACUGCAGGGCCUUGCUUUUCACGUCCUCGCUCACUUCUGGAUGGUGUGCCGCUUUCUGAAGAGAGAGAGAAAAUAAAGGAUUCUGGGAAUUUCAAGGAGACCAAAAUAAAUGGCUCCCAGUGGGAUGUCGCUCGGCUCAAAAUAUCAAGUAGAAAAUGUGGACACAUUUAAAAAAAAUCAGCAGUAAUAUUUUACAGCACUUUUCAGGAUAUCAUUGUUAGUAAUACUGUGUGUGUGUGUGUGUGUGUGUGUGUGUGUGU